UAAAUAUCCAUCCAGCCUCUCGCGCCCCACAAAUUGCUCCUGCUCCUCCUCUAUCUCUCCGCCGACUCAGCGCCACCACCUCCUCCUUUCUCCUUGAUACAACAGAUGAAUAGUACAUCUAGCGACAAGCUUGUUGAUGCGAGCAGCAAGUCAUGGGACAACAGCGAAAGUCUGGAUGCCGGGCGAGAUAUGGAUGAAGCUAUGCUCCUGUCAAGGAUGAUGGGCCAACACAAUGUUUGUUUCUGAAGAUUCACACUGAGCCAAUGCAGGCAGAGUACUCCGCUGGCCAAACCCCCGUAUCUGGCUAACCAUCUCGCGAGAGGAAGGCGCCGGCGCGAGGAGGUAGGAGACGGCGGCGCAGGAGCGAGGACCUGGAGGCGAAGACGCCGACGCGAGGUCUAGGAGGCGAAGCCCCGGCUGGUCUUGGCCGUAGUGGCCGCUGCCCCACAUACGUCCCCGCCGACGCCGCGUGAGGUUCUGGAGGGGACGCCGCCGCCGCGAGGUAUUGGAGAUCCCGGCUGCACUUGGUCGUAGAAAAGAGGACUUUCGUGUAGGAGAAACCAAGAUGUUCAUAUAGUCCACGGUUGUCGUCAGAGUUUGUGUAUUCCCUACGGCAGCAAAAAUAACGUCAAUUAAGGCAGCCACCGGUUCAAACAGUGAGCAUCAGGUUUAUUGUCUGUCUUGGGUGUUCAUUGUAGCAGUAGUGUGAGUACUGGACAGCAUUCUGCCAUCGUCUACCUCUUGUCUACCUCGUGCCUCGCCGGACAGCGCAGUCGUCAAACUCUGUCUCACCAGGCAGCCACCGUCGUCUACCUCUGCUUUGUAGUUAAUUGUGUGCUAUUAAUUCCUCCGAAAAACUUGUUAGGUUAUUCUAACUCUGCCAUGUAUCCGUGAUCUUGUUUUCUGAAUAUGUAAUUUUUUAGUGAUUUUCAUUUUCAUUUUAUUUAUCAUAGCACUCCCAUGAUUUAUUUCA
Molecule: long non-coding RNA, 973 nt
Organism: Triticum aestivum (bread wheat)
Lineage: Eukaryota; Viridiplantae; Streptophyta; Magnoliopsida; Poales; Poaceae
Exons: 5
Source: RefSeq, a predicted model, not a curated record